Molecule: ribosomal RNA, 479 nt
Filed under: Vibrio sp.
Lineage: Bacteria; Pseudomonadati; Pseudomonadota; Gammaproteobacteria; Vibrionales; Vibrionaceae
Description: bacterial SSU rRNA
Rfam family: Bacterial small subunit ribosomal RNA
Source: RNAcentral
AGUAAUGCCUAGGAAAUUGCCCUGAUGUGGGGGAUAACCAUUGGAAACGAUGGCUAAUACCGCAUGAUGCCUACGGGCCAAAGAGGGGGACCUUCGGGCCUCUCGCGUCAGGAUAUGCCUAGGUGGGAUUAGCUAGUUGGUGAGGUAAGGGCUCACCAAGGCGACGAUCCCUAGCUGGUCUGAGAGGAUGAUCAGCCACACUGGAACUGAGACACGGUCCAGACUCCUACGGGAGGCAGCAGUGGGGAAUAUUGCACAAUGGGCGCAAGCCUGAUGCAGCCAUGCCGCGUGUGUGAAGAAGGCCUUCGGGUUGUAAAGCACUUUCAGUCGUGAGGAAGGUAGUGUAGUUAAUAGCUGCAUUAUUUGACGUUAGCGACAGAAGAAGCACCGGCUAACUCCGUGCCAGCAGCCGCGGUAAUACGGAGGGUGCGAGCGUUAAUCGGAAUUACUGGGCGUAAAGCGCAUGCAGGUGGUUUGUU